This 600-nucleotide long non-coding RNA is filed under the name Homo sapiens (human). RNAcentral describes it as "HSALNT0048368". The record is from RNAcentral. Lineage: Eukaryota; Metazoa; Chordata; Mammalia; Primates; Hominidae.
GCUCCGUCUAGGACUGAGGACACAGAAGCACUGAUCGUUCUAAAGCCACACUUUCUGUUCAAGUCCAAACAUAAACUUCUUUUGUUUCCAUAAAGAAGGCGGUAGCAUUCUAAGAUACACAGAGGAGCAAGGAAUCCCAUCAUAUCCAUGUUAUUUCCUAACUGCGUAUAUUGAAAAUAAUGAAAUAGAAGAAAAGUGAAAGCUUUGUGUUGCAGUGCUUAGAAGAUAGAUGACUUUCCACCAGGGUGAAAAGUGCUCGCAAAAAUAGAUACCAUGUCUCUUUCCUGACAGUAUGAAUGAUGGGGAAACCUGGCCGUGCACAGAAGCCUAACUAUUCUCUGGAUACCAUGGAUAAAAGCAGCUUGAACUAGUACCAAAAUGAGCAUUACAAACACUGCAGGUGUCUCUCAAAUCGAGCCCUCAUUUUCCAAGCAAUUAAUGCUGAUUUCAAGCCAAUAGGACAAUAACAAGGGGCUACACCUAGAAGAGCCUGCUGUUUCAUACAACUGUGUUUGCUAAAACAGUUCAGCCACAAAUCCUGAACAAGAGAUCUCCUGCGGAGUGUGAGCAGCAUGGAGGAGCCAUAAUCCCGCUAUCUCU